UUAUUCUCUGGCAGCAUGUCUCAAUCAAGAUUUAUGAGUUCAUCGAAACUACUGUCCAAUAAACAUGUGAAGCUUUAUGCUUAAACAUAGCAACAGAAGCUGACAUUUUCGUAAAUGUCUUACAAUCAAGAGAUAAAGGAGUUUCAGUAUUAUCAACUAAACUUUCGAGCUCUUUCUUUCUUCCAUUAGGAGGGUUUUUAGAAUCUACAUCAUGUUGUGCAUAGAAGUUCUUAAACAUUCUAUGUGACUUGGGUAUUUCUACAUCGAUCAAAAUUGAUUCAUUUGGUUGUUCUCCAUGAAAUUUCUAAACGUUAAAUG
Molecule: long non-coding RNA, 318 nt
Filed under: Olea europaea (common olive)
Lineage: Eukaryota; Viridiplantae; Streptophyta; Magnoliopsida; Lamiales; Oleaceae
Description: long non-coding RNA (OEUR_LNC004541)
Source: RNAcentral